UCCCUGGUGGCUUAGAUGGUAAAGAAUCUGCCUAAAAUGCAGGAGACCCAGGUUUGAUCCCUGGGUGGGAAA
Non-coding RNA from Bos taurus (domestic cattle), 72 nucleotides. The record is from Rfam. NCBI's taxonomy places the organism in Eukaryota, Metazoa, Chordata, Mammalia, Artiodactyla, Bovidae.